UACAGAGGUCUCAAGCGUUGUUCGGAUUCAUUGGGCGUAAAGAGCGUGUAGGCGGCUUGGUAAGUCCGCUGUGAAAGUCCAGGGCUCAACCCUGGAAUGCCGGUGGAAACUGUCAGGCUCGAGUCCGGAAGAGGCGAGUGGAAUUCCUGGUGUAGCGGUGAAAUGCGCAGAUAUCAGGAGGAACACCGAUUGCGAAGGCAGCUCGCUGGGACGUCACUGACGCUGAGACGCGAAAGCGUGGGGAGCAAACAGG
Molecule: ribosomal RNA, 253 nt
Filed under: uncultured bacterium
Lineage: Bacteria
Description: partial 16S ribosomal RNA
Rfam family: Bacterial small subunit ribosomal RNA
Source: RNAcentral